This 342-nucleotide long non-coding RNA is filed under the name Homo sapiens (human). Its description in RNAcentral is "non-protein coding lnc-ZNF274-4:1". The record is from RNAcentral. Lineage: Eukaryota; Metazoa; Chordata; Mammalia; Primates; Hominidae.
CUAAAGAUGAAGUUACUGUGGGUCCUGAAGCUACAGAUGGCAGCAAGUCAACAGCCAUGGUGGUCUCCAAGGCUGCCCACAGAUUUUCUUUAGGCCAUCGCUGAUGGGUUCUAUGUAUCAUUGAAAUGAAUGGCAAUAACACAUUCUGGGAUGUGGGUAACGCAUGGUGCCCUCAGAAUGGUCUUGUUGGCUUCACUGUAUGACUGAUGAUCCUCCAACAAUAAACAACCUACUGCUUGUAAACUCAUUGGACAAGCCAUAAACUCAAAGUGAUAUGUACCUUAUUCCACCACUAGAAAGAAGAUUCAGGAGUAAGUCCCACCUUCAACACCUUGUAAGUAC